GCUCUACUGUGAUGUUACAUUGCUCCAAUGUGAUAUCACUGUUCUCCACAGUACUGUCACAGUGCUCCACUGUGGUAUCACAGUGCUGCAUUGUGGUAUCUCAGUG
This 106-nucleotide microRNA precursor is filed under the name Mus musculus (house mouse). Its description in RNAcentral is "predicted gene, 56164 (ENSMUSG00002075084.1)". Lineage: Eukaryota; Metazoa; Chordata; Mammalia; Rodentia; Muridae. The record is from RNAcentral.